AUUGAACGCUGGCGGCAGGCCUAACACAUGCAAGUCGAGCGGCAGCGACAACAUUGAUUCUUCGGAGGAUUUGUUGGGCGGCGAGCGGCGGACGGGUGAGUAAUGGCUGGGAACCUGCCCUGACGUGGGGGAUAACAGUUGGAAACGACUGCUAAUACCGCAUGAUGUCUUCGGACCAAAGAGGAGGACCGUUCGGGUCGUUCUCGCGUCGGGAGUGGGCCCGACGUUGGGUAGUUAGUCGUAGUUGGUUGAGGUAAGUGGCUCACCAAGGCGACGAUCCCUAGCUGGUUUGAGAGGAUGAUCAGCCACACUGGAACUGAGACACGGUCCAGACUCCUACGGGAGGCAGCAGUGGGGAAUAUUGCACAAUGGGCGCAAGCCUGAUGCAGCCAUGCCGCGUGUGUGAAGAAGGCCUUCGGGUUGUAAAG
RNAcentral lists this ribosomal RNA (428 nucleotides) under uncultured bacterium. RNAcentral describes it as "bacterial SSU rRNA". It matches the Rfam family "Bacterial small subunit ribosomal RNA", at positions 30 to 430 of the family's 1533-position model. The record is from RNAcentral.